GAUGAACGCUGGCGGCGUGCCUAAUACAUGCAAGUCGAGCGAACAGAUAAGGAGCUUGCUCCUUUGACGUUAGCGGCGGACGGGUGAGUAACACGUGGGUAACCUACCUAUAAGACUGGAAUAACUCCGGGAAACCGGGGCUAAUGCCGGAUAACAUGUUGAACCGCAUGGUUCUACAGUGAAAGGCGGCUUUGCUGUCACUUAUAGAUGGACCCGCGCCGUAUUAGCUAGUUGGUGAGGUAACGGCUCACCAAGGCAACGAUACGUAGCCGACCUGAGAGGGUGAUCGGCCACACUGGAACUGAGACACGGUCCAGACUCCUACGGGAGGCAGCAGUAGGGAAUCUUCCGCAAUGGGCGAAAGCCUGACGGAGCAACGCCGCGUGAGUGAUGAAGGUCUUCGGAUCAUAAAACUCUGUUAUUAGGGAAGAACAAAUGCGUAAGUAACUGUGCGCGUCUUGACGGUACCUAAUCAGAAAGCCACGGCUAACUACGUG
This 497-nucleotide ribosomal RNA is filed under the name uncultured bacterium. Its description in RNAcentral is "partial 16S ribosomal RNA". It matches the Rfam family "Bacterial small subunit ribosomal RNA", at positions 28 to 507 of the family's 1533-position model. The record is from RNAcentral.